UACAUAUUUCCAUUUGUAAGCAUCCACCUCCAUGCCCCGGGUGGUAAUAAGGUCAGUAACAGCAAGUUUCAAGUGAAGUUUAGCAGUUUAUAAUUGUGAGCUGUGUACUUUUUACUGCUUUAGCUUCUGUUCUUUUCUUCCUUAAUGGUUUGUAUAUGCCACAUUAAGCAGGCAGGAAAAAGACUCGAUAGAAGGCUGCAUGAGUGGUCAGAAGUCGGUGGUACUGGCAAGGUACUUAACUUUGUGAAUUUUUUUAUAGGGGCAUGACAGGUGAUAGUUUUUUUUAAUCUUGUGAUGGCAACAAAAU
RNAcentral lists this long non-coding RNA (307 nucleotides) under Nicotiana benthamiana. RNAcentral describes it as "long non-coding RNA (NBEN_LNC009801)". Lineage: Eukaryota; Viridiplantae; Streptophyta; Magnoliopsida; Solanales; Solanaceae. The record is from RNAcentral.